This 313-nucleotide long non-coding RNA is filed under the name Capsicum annuum. RNAcentral's name for it is "long non-coding RNA (CANN_LNC021335)". The record is from RNAcentral. Lineage: Eukaryota; Viridiplantae; Streptophyta; Magnoliopsida; Solanales; Solanaceae.
AUUCUUCCAUAGCUGUUAAUUCUUCUCCGUCUUGGGUAUAUAUGGUGUUUAAUAGUCCAUAGUCAAAACAGGUUUUUACUAGGCUUGGGUUAGUUUUGGGUAGUGCAAUUAGUUUGUUAUAUCCUUGUAAUUUUUGGGUUAUAUAGUUGGUGUUUGGUUCUUUGAUGUUUGUAGCUCUGGGGUUAUGGUUUAGAAAAGUUUGUACUCUGUAUAUAUUUUCUAUGUAUUUCUGGGCGGUGUAGUUGUAAACUUUUUUAUCUUGGUUUAGGCUAUCUCGGUAUGUGCUAACUUGUGGGGGUAUGAACAAGUGGUC